GAUGAACGCUAGCGGGAGGCUUAACACAUGCAAGUCGAGGGGCAGCAUGGAGUAGCAAUACUCUGAUGGCGACCGGCAGACGGGUGAGUAACGCGUAUGUAACCUACCCUGUACAGGGGGAUAGCCCGGAGAAAUUCGGAUUAAUACCCCAUGAUUAUAUCGAGAGGCAUCUUUUGAUAUUUAAAGUUUCGGCGGUACAGGAUGGGCAUGCGCAACAUUAGCUAGUUGGUAGGGUAACGGCCUACCAAGGCUACGAUGUUUAGGGGACCUGAGAGGGUGAUCCCCCACACUGGUACUGAGACACGGACCAGACUCCUACGGGAGGCAG
RNAcentral lists this ribosomal RNA (328 nucleotides) under uncultured Bacteroidota bacterium. Its description in RNAcentral is "bacterial SSU rRNA". It matches the Rfam family "Bacterial small subunit ribosomal RNA", at positions 28 to 351 of the family's 1533-position model. The record is from RNAcentral. Lineage: Bacteria; Pseudomonadati; Bacteroidota.